Macaca fascicularis (crab-eating macaque) is the source of this 296-nucleotide unclassified non-coding RNA. It matches the Rfam family "Metazoan signal recognition particle RNA". From Rfam's summary of the family: The signal recognition particle (SRP) is a universally conserved ribonucleoprotein. NCBI's taxonomy places the organism in Eukaryota, Metazoa, Chordata, Mammalia, Primates, Cercopithecidae. The record is from Ensembl.
GCUGGGUAUGGUGGGGCACACUUGUAGUCCAGCCACUCGGGAGGCUGAGGCAGGAGGAUCGCUUGAGCCCAGGAGUUCUGGGCUGUAGUGUGCUAUGCCAAUCAGGUGUUCACACUAAGUUCAGCAUCAACACGGUGGCCUCCUGGGAACAGGGGACCAUCAGGUUCACUAAGGAGGGUUGAACCGGCCUCUGCUGGAAACGGAGGUCAAAACUCCCGUGCUGAUUAGUAGUGGGAUCGUGCCUGUGAAGAGCCACUGAACUCUAGCCUGAGCAACACAAUGAGACCCCAUCUCUA